Molecule: ribosomal RNA, 440 nt
Filed under: uncultured bacterium
Lineage: Bacteria
Description: partial 16S ribosomal RNA
Rfam family: Bacterial small subunit ribosomal RNA
Source: RNAcentral
CCUACGGGAGGCAGCAGUGGGGAAUAUUGCACAAUGGGGGAAACCCUGAUGCAGCGACGCCGCGUGAGUGAAGAAGUAUCUCGGUACGUAAAGCUCUAUCAGCAGGGAAGAAAAUGACGGUACCUGACUCAGAAGCCCCGGCUAACUACGUGCCAGCAGCCGCGGUAAUACGUAGGGGGCAAGCGUUAUCCGGAUUUACUGGGUGUAAAGGGAGCGUAGACGGCAGCACAAGUCUGGAGUGAAAUCCCGGGGCCUAACCCCGGAACUGCUUUGGAAACUGUGCGGCUGGAGUGCAGGAGGGGUAAGCGGAAUGCCUAGUGUAGCGGUGAAAUGCGUAGAUAUUAGGAGGAACACCGGUGGCGAAGGCGGCUUACUGGACUGUAACUGACGUUGAGGCUCGAAAGCGUGGGGAGCAAACAGGAUUAGAUACCCCAGUAGUC